This 449-nucleotide ribosomal RNA is filed under the name uncultured bacterium. RNAcentral describes it as "bacterial SSU rRNA". It matches the Rfam family "Bacterial small subunit ribosomal RNA", at positions 329 to 795 of the family's 1533-position model. The record is from RNAcentral.
GACCAGACUCCUACGGGAGGCAGCAGUGGGGGAUAUUGCACAAUGGGGGAAACCCUGAUGCAGCGACGCCGCGUGAGUGAGGAAGUAAUUCGUUACGUAAAGCUCUAUCAGCAGGGAAGAAAAUGACGGUACCUGACUAAGAAGCCCCGGCUAACUACGUGCCAGCAGCCGCGGUAAUACGUAGGGGGCAAGCGUUAUCCGGAAUUACUGGGUGUAAAGGGAGCGCAGGCGGCACGGCAAGUCUGGUGUGAAAACCCGGGGCUCAACCCCGGGACUGCAUUGGAAACUGCCGGGCUGGAGUGUCGGAGGGGUAAGCGGAAUUCCUAGUGUAGCGGUGAAAUGCGUAGAUAUUAGGAGGAACACCAGUGGCGAAGGCGGCUUACUGGACGAUGACUGACGCUGAGGCUCGAAAGCGUGGGGAGCAAACAGGAUUAGAUACCCCAGUACUC